This is a long non-coding RNA of Hippocampus comes (tiger tail seahorse), 1065 nucleotides long. RefSeq lists it as uncharacterized. The record is from RefSeq and is a predicted model, not a curated record. NCBI's taxonomy places the organism in Eukaryota, Metazoa, Chordata, Actinopteri, Syngnathiformes, Syngnathidae. The transcript has 3 exons.
UUAAAAUAUUUAUGAGAUGAAUUGGAAUUAAAAGCGUAAGUUUUCAUUGUAUUUCUCGUUGUAAAGCAGCACUGAGCACUACUGACAUGGAAACUUGCUUCAGCCCAUUGUAAUAGUAAAUGAACAUAGAGUGAAUGUGUUAGUCAAACGUUACUUAGAACAAAAAAAAAGCACAAAAGUACGAUACGAAAAAGGAGGAAACUGGUAUUGUUUGUUGUCUUUAUCGUCCUUGUUUGGCGAUACAGUAAUUUAGUUGUGCAUUUCGCUACCAACCAGUAGGGAACGCUAAAGACAUUCACCAGAAACCCCAGAUCGUGUCAAAAGAUGCCUCCAGGCGUGGGGAUGUUGCUCAAGAAGUUUCCUGCCAUCUGAGCGCAGCAAGUGGCCUCCAGCCUCUACACAUGUUGGAGUGCAGGGGACAAACAAAGUGCAGACCUCGUGCCACUGCUUCACUCCAUCUCGUUCUCAUCGCGAGCUUUUCGUGUGUGCACGAGGACGCAACAUCUGAUGCACACCCCAAACAGGAAAUGAGAAACUGAAGCAACAACUAAGCAUAGGACAGAGCACAGUAUAUGUACGAAGAAACCUGUUUUUUUUUUCCUGAGUAGGAAUGAGGGAAGGAGGCAUAUAAGCCCUCCAAUCAAGAGUUGGAUUCACACUUGUUUAAAGUACACCCUAAAAAAUGCUGGGUUGUUUUCCCAAACCACGUGCUGGGUAGCUGUGGAUUUAGAGCAGAUUGAGUGAUUUUUACCCAAGGUUGGUUUUGCAGAUUGGGUUGAAUGUUGGAUUUGGGCAGGCUGAAGAGCUGAAGCUGGUUGCUGUUUUGUGUACUCAAGUAUAAGUAAACCCUGUGACCUAAAAGCUCAAAAGCCUCACUGAUGAUUGUUGUGACACAUUGAUGAGUUUCUUGCAUCCGUCACCAUGGAGCCGUGCUUUUUGCGAGGGGUUGUUGAAACAGCUCACUUGGACUCAGACAGGACGGUUGUAUGUUUGCUUGCCACCAUGCUGCAUAGUCGUACCAAAGUGCCAGACGGCGUUCAGUUAGCAGCAGAGCUCAUAAAACAA